GGACUAUGAAAGAAAGCGUGAGCGCGUCUCUCCUUCUCUUCACUGCGUUCCGCUUCAACAUGUGGAGGUCUUCAUCUCUUUCUGUCUUUCUCUCCGGCUGCACAGCUUCUGGCUCACGUGGAGUGGAGAACUGGAGUCGCACGUGAUCCCGCCUCCUGCGAUGUGAUUGGUUCUCAAACAUGAUUGAGUCCUCUGAUUGGACGACGAAUUCAAACUUUCCAGAGAAUGGAGUAAUCUGAUUGGAGGAAGUUUGGCUGUAACGGCUCAGGCUUAAUUCCCCUUUCAGGAUGUGACGUUGCAGUAAUAUAAGCUGCUUCUCCCUAUUGCGUUGUGCAGAAGGUUUGACUACCUGCCUGGCUGGAGUCUUGCAGCCCAGAAUGGAGCGCGUUGUGCUGAAGUCAUUCAGGAUCUUGCAUCACUUCUGAGGGUGUCCUUUUAUUGCUUGUGAAGUCAUGUUGUUAACUGCAUAUGUUUGGUCACAUGAUUGCUUGUGCGAUAGGAAAUAAAUGCAUUUUGAUGGAAAA
Long non-coding RNA from Clarias gariepinus (North African catfish), 524 nucleotides. RefSeq lists it as uncharacterized. Lineage: Eukaryota; Metazoa; Chordata; Actinopteri; Siluriformes; Clariidae. The record is from RefSeq and is a predicted model, not a curated record. The transcript has 5 exons.